Molecule: long non-coding RNA, 1242 nt
Organism: Oryza sativa Japonica Group (Japanese rice)
Lineage: Eukaryota; Viridiplantae; Streptophyta; Magnoliopsida; Poales; Poaceae
Source: RefSeq, a predicted model, not a curated record
ACGAUCCUGAGCGUUGGAUUUACACAGAGAUGAUCUAUACCGUUCCACGAGGAAUGAAAGAAUGAGUGAAACAACUUAUUUAAGUAUAGGGUAGGUAGAUAGAAGAUAGAUGGAGAGGCAGCGUGCGAAAUCUUACCUCCAUUAAUCUUCUUGUUAGUGGAGUGGGCGCACGUGCUGGCUGAGCAGGGCCCAGGUGGCUUCCGCGGCCCAGAAGCCGCGUGGCCCGUCAGUGGAGCCGGCCCGAUGCGGAGAGAAUCCGAGUCGUCCGAAUGAUGGACGGCUCAGAUUGUUCCUGUUCUGGUAAAAGUCGCCGACGGGGAAGGGGUAAACCUAAUCCUCCUCUUCUCCGGCGAGCCAGAGGGGCGAGAGCGGCGGCGGGGUCGUAGGCGGCGGUGUGUGGCGAUCCGGCGAAGGGAAUCUCGCACGGCGGCGCGGCUGCUGAGGGGGAACACCCUAAUCCCCUUCUCUCCCCGACCCCUCUCCCGGCGACGCGAGUGAGUGGCUGGCGGCAAGCGCCGAGCGGCUCCAGCUUCACUGGCUGGGGGGCGCACCCGAAGACGGCGCCAAGCCAUCGGCGGUCCGGCAAAGCACCGAGCCGACGGGGGAGGGGGGGAGGUGCCAAAAGUGGCAGCCCAAGCCGAUGCUUCCCGUCUCCGGUGAGGCGGCGACGGUGGGGAAGCUCCAAGACGGCGCGAGCGGUGGUGAACCGGCGCGACCCCGAGGACGCCGGAGAGCUUCAAGUCUGCGUCUAGAUCUGGACGCUCUUGCAGAUGACGUCCACAGUCUGGUGCGAUCCAACUCCAACCUGAGUGAUCGCCAUCGCCAUCAGUUUGGUGUUGCUACCACGUGGACGGUGGAUCUCCUCGCCGUCAUCGUCCGCACCUCCUCCUACUCGUCGAUUCGAUGAGGUGCGGCGAGCGAAGCCCUCUUGGCAUGGACGAAGGCCACAGCGCCACCCAUCAACUAGAGAACGAGGCUCCCACGUACGCGGCACGCGCGACUGAUUCCUCUUCUCGUUUUACUUUUUUUUAUUCUCCUUUUUUUUUUCCUGUAUUGAUUAUCGUAGCAACCAAUCAGAGGCGAGCAACUGCACCAGAUGGACGUGGUACCUUACAGCGUCCUUGUCUGAGACGCUCUUUUUUACUUAGCGUCCAUCCUAUUCUUGUAAUUCUACUCUAUGAUUUUACUGGAUAUUUAAUUCAUUUGUUAAUAAUUAUUAUACAAAAAAAAUUCGGUGAAUAA